Pongo abelii (Sumatran orangutan) is the source of this 117-nucleotide unclassified non-coding RNA. It matches the Rfam family "Metazoan signal recognition particle RNA". Rfam says of the family: The signal recognition particle (SRP) is a universally conserved ribonucleoprotein. It is involved in the co-translational targeting of proteins to membranes. The eukaryotic SRP consists of a 300-nucleotide 7S RNA and six proteins: SRPs 72, 68, 54, 19, 14, and 9. Lineage: Eukaryota; Metazoa; Chordata; Mammalia; Primates; Hominidae. The record is from Ensembl.
GCCAGGUGUGGUGGCUCACACCUGUAAUCCCAGCCCUUUGGGAGGCUGAGGUGGGAGGAUCACUUGAGUCCAGGAAUUCGAGACCAUCCUGGACAACAUAGUGAGACCUCAUCUCUA